RNAcentral lists this long non-coding RNA (1230 nucleotides) under Triticum aestivum (bread wheat). RNAcentral's name for it is "long non-coding RNA (TAES_LNC006483)". The record is from RNAcentral. Lineage: Eukaryota; Viridiplantae; Streptophyta; Magnoliopsida; Poales; Poaceae.
UGGCUGGCGGCGAAUCAUUCACAAACGGCGGUUGGAAGCAACCGAAGUGUAUGUCUGCGGUUUGUGGUGUGCAGUCCCACUUCCAGGUAGAUGAUGCUGCUGUUGCAACGAACAGCAGCUUCCCAGGUCCACUGUGUGAGAGUUAACACAAGCUGGUCCAUUGAUUUGCUGUGGUUGAGCAGGGUUCCUGGAUUGAGUGAGUAAGCUCUGUGAAGCAGUAGAAUAAAGUGGUGAGGAUGUAGUGUAGUGUAGCUCCGGCCUCACUUGAGUAGGCAAGUAAGGUGUACCACUAGCAGCAGCAGCAGCAGCAUCUAGUGCAUGCAUGUAGUAGAAAUGAAACUGGAUCCUGUGCCAGCCAGAGAGAUGGUGGCAGCUUCUGUUCUCCUCUAUGUACCCCAGCUUUGUAUAUAGUCCUGGCGAGCUAUUUAUUUGUCUGUAAGAGUACAAUUAGAGUACUGAUCAUAUGAAUGCAUAUCGGUUGCUAUUUAUUUGUCUGUAAGAGUACAGUUAGAGCACUGAUCAUAUGAAUGCUUAGCAGUUGCUACUUUGUGUGUAGUACUAUGUAGGAGUAUAUGACAGUAAUGGCUAACCCUUUGGACUGCAAAUGGAGAGGCACUGUCACAAUGUUUUUCGACAAAUUGUGGAUUUUACUGACUCGAAAUGAAACAUCAAGUGGACACAAACACAAUGAACAUACACCCGACCUAUGCCGCAUGACAGUUCUUCCACCUCCAGUGCGUGCAAUCAACUGAGUCGAGCCUGAGCUUUGUUCAUCUUCAAAAGUUUGUACUUGAAAGCCUGGUCCGAAAGCAACCGGUUGCCAAGACCAAGGGCCGCGGCAGUGGCGGUAGGCUCCGGCGGAACGGCUGGCCCGUCUUCAGCUCCAGGAGCGAGCAGGUGAAGGUCGACUGAUUGAGCCGGUGGCGAAUCAUUCAAGGACGGCAACCCAAGUGUCUGCGGUUUGUGGCAUGCAUGAUGCAUCAGCACUAGACUCCAGUUUCCAGUUAGAUAUGCUGUUGCAAUGAACAACAACUUUCCACUCCUACUGUCUACUGUGUGAGAAUUUGUACAAGCUCAAGCUGGUCCAUUAAUGGAGAUUGUUGUGGCCGAGAGGACUUCGAGUGUGUGAGGUGUAGUUUAGUGCAGCUCCGGCCGGUCUCACUUGAUCAUGUUCAUGUAGCAGCAGCAGAUGCAGUAGUACCAAUAGCACCUGUGCCAGCCAGAGAGAUG